RNAcentral lists this ribosomal RNA (561 nucleotides) under Bipolaris oryzae. RNAcentral's name for it is "eukaryotic LSU rRNA". The stretch from base 190 to 343 matches the Rfam family "5.8S ribosomal RNA". Lineage: Eukaryota; Fungi; Ascomycota; Dothideomycetes; Pleosporales; Pleosporaceae. The record is from RNAcentral.
GCGGAGGGAUCAUUACACAACAAAAUAUGAAGGCCUGGCUUUCGCGGCCGGCUGAAGUAUUUUUUUCACCCAUGUCUUUUGCGCACUUGUUGUUUCCUGGGCGGGUUCGCCCGCCACCAGGACCAAACCAUAAACCUUUUUUUCUUAUGCAGUUUCCAUCAGCGUCAGUAAAAACAAUGUAAUUAUUACAACUUUCAACAACGGAUCUCUUGGUUCUGGCAUCGAUGAAGAACGCAGCGAAAUGCGAUACGUAGUGUGAAUUGCAGAAUUCAGUGAAUCAUCGAAUCUUUGAACGCACAUUGCGCCCUUUGGUAUUCCAAAGGGCAUGCCUGUUCGAGCGUCAUUUGUACCUUCAAGCUUUGCUUGGUGUUGGGCGUUUUUUUGUCUCCCUCUUUCUGGGAGACUCGCCUUAAAACGAUUGGCAGCCGGCCUACUGGUUUCGGAGCGCAGCACAUUUUUUGCGCUUUGUAUCAGGAGAAAAGGACGGUACUCCAUCAAGACUCUACAUUUUUCACUUUUGACCUCGGAUCAGGUAGGGAUACCCGCUGAACUUAAGCAUAU